This 484-nucleotide ribosomal RNA is filed under the name uncultured bacterium. Its description in RNAcentral is "partial 16S ribosomal RNA". It matches the Rfam family "Bacterial small subunit ribosomal RNA", at positions 30 to 507 of the family's 1533-position model. The record is from RNAcentral.
AUUGAACGCUGGCGGCAGGCCUAACACAUGCAAGUCGAGCGGAUGAAGGGAGCUUGCUCCUGGAUUCAGCGGCGGACGGGUGAGUAAUGCCUAGGAAUCUGCCUGGUAGUGGGGGAUAACGUCCGGAAACGGGCGCUAAUACCGCAUACGUCCUGAGGGAGAAAGUGGGGGAUCUUCGGACCUCACGCUAUCAGAUGAGCCUAGGUCGGAUUAGCUAGUUGGUGGGGUAAAGGCCUACCAAGGCGACGAUCCGUAACUGGUCUGAGAGGAUGAUCAGUCACACUGGAACUGAGACAAGGUCCAGACUCCUACGGGAGGCAGCAGUGGGGAAUAUUGGACAAAGGGCGAAAGCCUGAUCCAGCCAUGCCGCGUGUGUGAAGAAGGUCUUCGGAUUGUAAAGCACUUUAAGUUGGGAGGAAGGGCAGUAAGUGAAUACCUUGCUGUUUUGACGUGACCAACAGAAUAAGCACCGGCUAACUUCGUG